AGAGUUUGAUCCUGGCUCAGGACGAACGCUGGCGGCGUGCCUAACACAUGCAAGUCGAGCGAGGGAUUUAUGACGGAUUCCUUCGGGAUGAAGACAUAAAUCACCUAGCGGCGGACGGGUGAGUAACGCGUGAGGAACCUACCUCCUACAAGGGGAUAGCCUCGGGAAACUGGGAUUAAUACCCUAUGACACUUAAGGGUCGCAUGAUCUUUAGGUUAAAGCGAUAUAGCGGUAGGAGAUGGCCUCGCGUCCCAUUAGCUAGUUGGUGAGGUAACGGCUUACCAAGGCGACGAUGGGUAGCCGGCCUGAGAGGGUGAACGGCCACACUGGAACUGAGACACGGUCCAGACUCCUACGGGAGGCAGCAGUGGGGAAUAUUGCACAAUGGGCGAAAGCCUGAUGCAGCGACGCCGCGUGAGCGAAGAAGGCCUUCGGGUCGUAAAGCUCUGUCCUAUGGGACGAUAAUGACGGUACCAUAGGAGGAAGCCCCGGCUAACUACGUGCCAGCAGCCGCGGUAAUACGUAGGGGGCGAGCGUUGUCCGGAAUUACUGGGCGUAAAGGGUACGUAGGCGGCUAGGUAAGUCAGAUGUGAAAUCCAUGGGCUCAACCCAUGUAAGCAUUUGAAACUGCUUAGCUUGAGUUAAGGAGAGGAAAGUGGAAUUCCUGGUGUAGCGGUGAAAUGCGUAGAUAUCAGGAGGAAUACCAGUGGCGAAGGCGACUUUCUGGCCUUAAACUGACGCUGAGGUACGAAAGCGUGGGGAGCAAACAGGAUUAGAUACCCUGGUAGUCCACGCCGUAAACGAUGAGUGCUAGGUGUCGGGGGUUUAACCUUCGGUGCCGCAGUUAACACAUAAG
Molecule: ribosomal RNA, 856 nt
Filed under: bacterium enrichment culture clone 080213-ABM-Ikosorb 4-38
Lineage: Bacteria
Description: bacterial SSU rRNA
Rfam family: Bacterial small subunit ribosomal RNA
Source: RNAcentral